CCCGUGGUUUUGUAUUUUCUCAUUUUAGUACUCUAUACUUUAAAGUAUAUCAAUUUAGUAUUAUGUGGCUUCAUUUUUUUCUUUUUGUUGGCUCCUCUAUUAACAUUUCGUUAAAUUAUAUACAAAAAAACUUUAGAUACCCCAUCUAAAUUUAUUGAGUAUUCACUUUAGUAUCUUUUAGUUUUAAUUUUGUCACUGAUUUAACGAAAAAAAAUUAGUGGAUGGGAUAAUAAAAAGAGAAAAAUAAAACGGCGACGGUACUAAAUUAAUACAUUUUAAACCAUAAGGGACUAAAAUAAAAAAGCGUGAAACCACAUGGGUGGCAUUUGAAGUUUUUUCCUUUUUAAUUUUGGGUUAAUUUCAUAUAGAUCCUGCAAAUAUAGUGAAUUGUAAGUAUAUCCCUAAAAGUUCAACUUUCAUACGUUGUUUCUAUAAAAGUUCUAAUAUUUUCAAUAGGUCUCUACCGUUAGAAUCCGUUAAAAAAUUUUUGUUAACCAUAGGUUAAAUACUUAAUCCAGGUCGGUUUAUGAGAUAACUUGACAUUUUUGCCCCUCUUAUAUUAUACUGUUGUGGUUUUUGGAGGGACAUAUUUGUGAUGACCAAAUUGAUAUUUCACUAAAAUAUAAAUAAUUUUAUAACGGUAACAAACCAGAGGGAUAUUUUUGAAAACAUUAAAACUUUGCGCAGGGAUAAUAUAUGAAAGUUGAAUUUUGUAGAGAUAUAUUUAUAAUUCACUACGUUUGUAGGGAUAUGUAUGAAAUUAACCCUUUAAUUUUUCAAUCAUUUGGUGUUAAAAAAAAACUAAAUUACAAAAAAUCUCCUUAUAAAUACUCAUUUAUCACUUUCCCUCCCUAAUUUUCAAAAACCUAUAUUUUACGCUCUCGAUAUUUUAAAUUGUUGCAUUUAGACCCCUCCAUCAGAAUUCAAUCACUAUUUCGAUCAUUUUUUAUAGUUUAUACUAAAAAUGCCCUUCAAAUGACAUAAAUAUAUUAAAAAUUAUUUUUUCUUACGGAAGAAGUAAGGACAAUUUGGUUAUUUUGCUCUUUUCAUUUAACACCGUACCCUCCUGAAAAUAAUUUUUAAAUUUUAAGGAGGCAACAUGUAGGUUUUUGAAAAUUAGAGAGGGAAAGUAAAAAAAAACAGAUAUUUACAGAAAUUUUUUUUAUAAUUUAGCCUAAAAAAAAUUAUCUAUAUACCUCUCAAAACUUCUCAAAUAUCUUAUAUAGUACUUUUUUUUUUGUUUCAAACAUAUCUUUCCUAUGUUUUUCUCCGUUAUUUAAAAAAUAUCCCAGCUGUUAAUACCCGUUAAGUCAUCUCAGGUUAAACUCGAAUUAAAUUUCUAACAGAGUUAAAAAAAAAAAUCAAAAUCCUUCUUUUGUUGCUAACUAAAGGAUAAACAAAAAAAAUUGGUGACAGUAGAAAAGUAUAUUUGAAAGAAAAAAAAAGUCAAAAUAUUUCUUUUGUCGCUAACUUUAAGGACAAAUAAAAAAGUUGCUGUUGGUAAAAAGGUAUAUUAGAAAAGACAAAAUAGUAAUUUUUAAAGAUAACGACAGUUUCUAAUAAUUCAUUAACAGUAUUUAACUUUCCAGAUAUAUUUGAAAGAAUUUAUAAUGUUAAAAUAGUAUUUUCUAUAUUAGCCUUUUAAGAGGGGUAAAUAAGAAAGUUUAAAACUUUUCAGGGGUCUACAUGCAAUUGCUCCUUGUUUUUUUCUAUAUUUUUAGGUCACGAUAUCAAUGAAAUAUAUUAUUAGUGCUUUUUCGAAUAACUUUACUUAAUAAUAUAGAAUAUCUCCAGAAGCUCUAACCAGGCCAAAC
Molecule: long non-coding RNA, 1814 nt
Filed under: Ananas comosus (pineapple)
Lineage: Eukaryota; Viridiplantae; Streptophyta; Magnoliopsida; Poales; Bromeliaceae
Description: long non-coding RNA (ACOM_LNC028808)
Source: RNAcentral